UUGCAGUUUCAAGUUUGUUAUUGUUAUUUGUUUGAUAAUUUCAUUUAUUUUGAUUUAAUUUAUUGAAAACGUUCGUCCAUAUUGAAUUGCGAUACAAAAACUUCUUAAGUUAGUCUAAAAUAAACUAUUAUUUAAGUACCUUCAUAAUUCUAUUUACACUCAUUGAAUUUUGGGAAAAUGCAUAUUCUAUGCACAAUCUGCAGUGACCUGGUGAACCAGGCAGAGAACAUACGUGUGACAAAGUGCGGACAUGUAUUCCACUUUCACUGCUUAUCACAAUGGAUAGAGAGAUCAAAGUCAUGUCCGCAAUGCCGGAACAAAGUGACAGAUAAAUGUAUGUUCCGGCUGUACCCCACCAUCUCCAAUGAGCCUUCCGGAGACGAUGUAGCCACGCUGCAGUCGCGCCAUGAUGACGCGCUGCUGCAGCUGCGACAGCUGAAAGCAAGCUGCAAAGAGUACACAGACAAGAUAGCCAGCACUGAAGCCGAAAUGAAGAAGAAUAUGGGACUGUUAAAAGCGUGUGAAAAUAAGCUGGAGAGCCGAGACUCAACCAUCGCAGCGAUGAAGGAGCAGCUGCAGUACUUGAAGGAACAGAAUAGAGAAACACAGAGAAUUAAAGAAGAAAACGAGAGUCUAAAGAAGAACAUACAAACUUUGAAUGGUCUGCAGAAGGUGCUAAACGCCACAAGUGAGGAAGUGGAACAGAUGCUAGAAGGGUACUCAGAUGUCAGGACGGUGGCAACUUUCGCCACCGCACUCAAACGUGCGCUGUGUGAGUCUGAGAGCAAAAAGAACGACACAAGAGAUCGACUACAAGUCGUUAAACAAAAAUUAGCAGCCGAAAAAAACAUCGUAGCAGACCUGCAGGCCAAACUUGCGUUUGCCGAAGAGAGACUAACUGCGAAGAUCCGCAAAAUCAAAAGCCUGAGACAGAAGCGCAAGUCCGAUGUAUUGCAGGAAUCGGUUGAGGAGUCUCCCUCAUCAUCAGAGGCUAAGAAGAUGAAGCCAGACUUGGAUGUGGCCAUACACCUUUCAGACAGCUGUGAUACUAGCAUUAACUCAAUGGUGACUAAGAUAGAGAACGCGGACUCUCCAUACUUGCGCUUACAGCAAAGCAGCCUGGCUCUAUCCGCGCUGAGUCUCGUGCGACCCUCGAACCCCGCCAAACCCUUGUCGGACAAAACCCUGAAGCCGUCGGAAUACGCACUCCUCAACUCAGCAAGAAACUCCAUAAAGAAACAGGAAACGAACCAAAGUUCUAAAACGAGCAUUUUCCAAAAAAAGGAGCCCACAAAAAUGACCCUCUCUCAAGAAAACGACCAGAAUCUGUCCUUGAUGAACAUUUCAUACGACGGGUUGGGGGGACACUCCAAACUGGAGACCUUUCCCGUGCCCAAUCCGAGGCCCAAUUUCAAAAGCUGUUUACCAAAGUUGUCCGCGAAGCACAAGUUGAAGCGACCCAACCCUGUCGGGAGCCAGGAUAUAGGGAAAAUGUUGGACAAGAUUAGAGAAAAGGAGACAAGUUGAGAAAUGUCGUCAUAACAGUGAAAAUUAAUGUUUGUGUUCGUCUUCUAUGCGGCCGCGCGGUGAUACUUUGUACAAUUGCUGUAGGCACUUGCCUUAAGGAUUUGACACAUGAAACUCUGUACAGUUGUUGGAACUUACGUUAAGGUUGCUGACAUGUGACAACACUUUGUACAAUUGCUGUUGGCACUUGCCUUAAGGCUUUGAUAUAUGAAACUUUGUACAGUUGCUGUUGGAACUUGCCUUAAGGCUUGCGACAUAUGAAACUGUACAGUUAUUGGAACUUACGUUAAGGUUGCUGACAUGUGACAACACUUUGUACAAUUGCUGUUGGCACUUGCCUUAAGGCUUUGAUAUAUGAAACUUUGUACAGUUGCUGUUGGAACUUGCCUUAAGGCUUGCGACAUAUGAAACUGUACAGUUGUUGGCACUUGCGUUAAGGUUUCUGAUAUAUGUUUUCAAAAAAACAUUCGGAAUUCAAUUCGAAAACAUAGUUUCUUUUGUGAUUGGUCGGUAACUCAAAAUGGUUGACGCCCACUGAAAUUUACAUCAGUAUAUAUACAUAAUUUGGUUAUUUUACCUGCCGUGCAGUUAAUAUUGUUUAUUUUAAGUUGUUAGGUAAUUAACUAAUAUAAUUUAAUAAUAUAUAAUAAUUAAUAUUCCUGUUAGUUAUAUAAUAAUAUAAUUUAUCAAACCACCGACUGAUUUGUUAAUCAAUGUGUCCGAUUCUAUUUAUAAUUUUUAUGAUAGUGUUUUUACAUUCACUUCAAGGAAAUUUCUAAAUGAUUUUCAAAUCUUCCGUACUGAAUGAAAAUACAUAUCUCUUUAGGCACUGGCAGCAAGUGAACCGUGGCUUAGAGGUUUAAGGCACCUUGGGCGCGAUACCCAGUAAGACGCAGGUUCGAAUCCUGCCGGUUCUGCAAAUUUUAGGGUUCCGUACCUAAAAAGGAAAAACGGAACCCUUAUAGGAUCACUUUGUUGUCUGUCUGUCUGUCAAAAAAAU
Molecule: RNA transcript, 2527 nt
Organism: Maniola jurtina (meadow brown)
Lineage: Eukaryota; Metazoa; Arthropoda; Insecta; Lepidoptera; Nymphalidae
Gene name: E3 ubiquitin-protein ligase TRAIP
Exons: 10
Source: RefSeq, a predicted model, not a curated record